GUCACUGUCUUGGGCUGUGUGCUGACGGGAGCCAGGGCCUUGUAAGGCCCAGACCCUCCUCCUUCUCUCCCGUAUUAGUCAAGGUUCUCCAGAGAAAUGGAGUUAGAGAUGCAUUGCUAUAAGAAAUGGAAUGGGCUCGCAUGAUUACAGAGGCUGAGGGGUCCUACACCCUGUCGUCUGCAAGCUGGAAAGGCAGGAGAGUCUGUGCUGCAGCCCUAGCCAGAGCCUGGAGGCCCGAGAACCAGGCACGCCGACGACAGCACACUUCCAGCCUGAGAGCAAGAGAAGGUCAGUGUUCCAGCUCCAGCAGGCAGGCAGAGGGAGGGUUCUCUCUCCACCUUUGUGUUCUACUCAGGUCUUCAAUGGGUUGGAUGAGGCCCAUCCACAUUGCGAGGGCGUCUGCUUCACUGAAUCCACCAUCGUACCUGCUUCUCUUGGAUGCCGUCCGAUUGCAGAGACGCUGUUCCCUUGAGGGUUCCUGCCCCACCGUGUGUGCUGGUGCUAGGAUGUCUGCCCUGGUCCAGCCCUGCACCCCUGAGUCAGAGGCUCUUACUCUGGGUUCAAUUAAGAAGGUUAUUUGGCCCCCACACAAAGCUAAGACUUUCACCUUGGCAUUUGUUAGGAAUUCUUUCCUGAAGUUGGACAGUUUGGCCAUGUUCAAGCCUCUGAAUUCUUCCAUAGAAUUGUCUUCUGGAAAUCAUGCCACAGUAAUUUAAGUCUCCCCGGCUGUAUGUGUGAGGACUUCUUACCCUCUUGGGCAUGGAGGGGUUAGCAUGUUUGGUAGCCAUUCUAGUCAUAGUAGGUUGACAGUUGAGUGUUUCCUAGAUCUUUCCAAGUAGACCAGCAUGACUAUGGAAGAGGCCCUGAAGGUCCCACCCCGACACGCCAGUCCGAAGGGCCCUUGCCUGGGCACCCUGCACCUUCCCCUGGACCUGCUGAUGCGCCUGGCUGGGGGAAUGCGGGCCUUCGCGUUGGUUCCACCUCCAGCUUCCAUGACUGUGGAGUUCUGCAGUGGGUUCAUUGAGAAAGUGGUGGUGAGACCAGGGUAUCUGAGAGGAGUGGUCGGCAGGGAGAUGAGACAAGUGUGGAGACCAGGCAGAUGGAAGGCGCAUGUCUGGAGGGUGUGAGAGCUGCCAGGUGGGUGUCUGCAGGGUCUUGCAGAGUCGCUCAGCCGCAGGUGGGGCGGCUCUGGAGACCCUAUCAGCACAUUCCAGAGAGUGGCAGACCCCACGGCCAGGCAUGGACUGAUGAGCAGGACUGUCCUCCACUGUCCAGACAACAGCACAGAUGAAACCCAGGAGCGCCUGGGACGGUGCUGUGAGCCCUGCACAUCCACGGAGUCUCUCAGAUGAAACCACACGGGUGUCACAGUGACGCUCUCUCCCCUCAGAGGCUGCCGACCCCUCGCUGGGCUGCUGGACUGCUCAGGGCCGGCCCUUGAAGCCUGGAGGGAGCCAUGGGUCUGUGUGUACACAUGUGUGUGCCCGUGAGUGAGUCUAUGUGUGAUCUCUGAAAAUGAAGCUUCCACAUUACCAAUGCCUGGAGAAUCCAGAACUGGGACUCCCAGGUAACUGAGGGCCUGGGUCCCAAAGCUGGUGGCUGAAGCUGGCUGCUCCGAGGCAUGCGUGGCAGGAAGGGGUCAUCAGGAGGGCCACCCAAGGCCCCGGGCACCUCUGAUGGGUUUCCAGAGUCCCUGCCCUCACGAGAGGGAAGUCAGUUGGAGAAUGGGGUGCUGAAGUCUCGAGAGAAAGGUGUCCUUGACUCGGGGUCCAGAGUAAGCAGCUUCUGCCCCCCAUAUCACGUGGCUAGUGGCUUGUCCUGACUGUGCCCCACGUGUCAUGGCAAAGUUUCGACACCCACUUUGGAGAUGUCUUGACAGAGGCCAGCGUCAGGCUCCCGUUCUUCCACACGCUGGAAGCUGCUGCACAGCGGGCUCAGAGCCUGGGCUCAGGAGGCAUCCCGGUUACUGUUGCUGUAUCCUGGAGGGUGGCAUCUCCUGGGAGCUGUGGUCCGAGCCCCUUGCAACAGCGGGGCCAGGAGAAGGCUGGUUGCUGGGUGCAUCCUGUUCUUGGGGUUCCACCUGCUGUAUCCAUCUCCCGGGGGAUUUUCCGUCGCCGUCCUUGGUUCCAGCACAUGCCCUGAGUGGUAAUGCCGAUUCCUGCCUGUGCUGCCGACUUGGUGCGGGGAGCCUGUGGCUGCUCUGUCAGGUGGUUGGCCCCGAUGGCUCCAUGGGUGGCCCCCGCCCAGGCAUCUCAUGGAGGGACUCUGCCUACGUCACUGGCCGCCAGUCCUGGGGGACACCGUGUGCAUUUGCACAUGAACCAUGAUGGGAACCUGGGGGACGGGUCUCAGGCUGAGAAAGGUUCCCCUGGGCUUCAAGGUAAAUCAUAAAGCGAGGUAAUUUCCUAUAAGUGUCAGAGGACACUGUAACUGUCCCUUCUGAGCAGGACAUUGUUGUGGUUGUCUGUCUUCCCUUUUGUCUUCUGCCUGUGGGAUUAUCUAGAUUCUGAGCAGGUAAAUUGUUUCAGGCUCUGGCCUUCUCAGAGCCUUUCUGUGGCUGUAGGUUGUGGGGAGGGCACCAUGGUAGUUGCCCCUGCUUCAUUCACUCAGAGCCACUGACAGGGGCCCCCCAACCUGCUCGGAGCCCUCCAGGGGCAGGCACUGUCCCUGCUGCCCCCCUGCUGCCCUGAACAUCUCCCCAGCCCCACAGCUGACCCACCCUUUCAGGGUAACAGUGCAGCUGCGGGGGCAGCCCCCUCCAGCCCUUCCUUGGUCAGCCUCCCUGCUGCUGGCCCUUCCUGGAGACGUGAUUUGCCCUAGAAGUGGCAGGUGUGUGUGGCUCAUGCCCUCACUGUAAGGCUGUGCCAAGGCAGUGCCACCUUGGGAAAAAUCAAAACCCCAUACCAGCUCCUCCCAGUCCAUGCCAGCACACACCCUGGCUCCUCAGAACCCCCCACAGAAGCAGGCAAGGAAUCAAAAACUCAAGUCUGCAGGAAGCCAGGCAGGGAUGGAGGAGGGGUAUACUGUCACAGGUGAGAGGGUCCCAGAAGCCUUUCUGGAGGAGGUGACUUCAGGCUGGAUUUGGAGGGGCAACUUAACAAGCAGACAGGUGGGUGGAGACGCUCCAGCAGAGGAAAUGGCAUGGAGUGUCCAGGAGCCCACGAAUCAGCUGGCAUUGUUGAAUCAUGGAGAACGCAGAGACGGUCUCAGAAGUCGGCCGGAGCCUGAGUCAUUGGGCCACGCGGCUUCAGUCCUUCCUUGCAGCCUGUGGGGAGUCUCAGGGGAAUUCUGAGGAGGAAAGGGGGAUGCUCAUGAUAGGUAUUUAUUGUUUUUGUUUGUUUGUUUUUAAUCACUUAUUUUCACAAGUGUAAUCGAAGCACCUGGUUGUGAGUCCAGGAGAGUAAAACAUUUAGCCCUCGCCCCUCCCAUCCAUCACGGAUUUUCUGACGCCUGCAGCAGGGUUCCUGCCAAAGGAAAACCCAUUUAUAGUCAUAUACUUCCGUGAACCUUUGAUAUAACCCAGUUAUGUAUCUAGAAACCUGCCUUUUCAAAAAUAUUAACCUGUCUAUAAAUGUAGUAAAUGUUAUAUAAAAUGCAAUCAUGUUUAAGAAGUUAACUAUUGUUAUAUUAAUUCGAGUUGAACAAUUCAAAUUCUCAACUUCAUUUAUAAACAUAGUUAAUUAAAUUCCUUUAUGCAUAU
This is a long non-coding RNA of Homo sapiens (human), 3700 nucleotides long. Ensembl annotates it as long intergenic non-protein coding RNA 2991. The record is from Ensembl. Lineage: Eukaryota; Metazoa; Chordata; Mammalia; Primates; Hominidae.